This 1111-nucleotide long non-coding RNA is filed under the name Papio anubis (olive baboon). Its description in RNAcentral is "lncRNA (ENSPANG00000045663.1)". Lineage: Eukaryota; Metazoa; Chordata; Mammalia; Primates; Cercopithecidae. The record is from RNAcentral.
CAGGUUAGAGUACCUCAUAGAAUCCUUGCUACGAAUAAAAUAUGGAACAGCAGAAUGCCAAACGUGUAAUGAACACUUCAUGAAGCAGUUGAUAGUGAGCCACUUACUACAAUUCCCAUCGUGUCAGUUUUGUCCUCCGUAUCAAUACUAUGCCACUUUGCCAGACACUCUUCAUGACCCAGAGAUGAUGGAAAGUAAGAUUCGAUGAUACACCGCUCCGCUUUGUAGCUAACUUCACAGUGAUGUCACAUGGGCUGGGAAAGAUUUUUCCAUGUCCAAAUCAGAAUAACGAGGGCAUCAGAGAAUUUUAGAAUCUUAGAGGCCUUUUAAUAGAGAUAUCUUUAUUUUAUAUGUUAAGAGACAGCGGCACAGGUAAUUCAAAUGACUUGUCAAUGUUUCUCAUGAUGAGUUGGUGUUAGAACUCAGAUUAAACAUUUCCAAACCUUCUUACUCAGUCCACUUUUCAUUUUAUUGCAGUUUGUUGCCUUUCCUAAUGCUCUGAAUGUCAUAUAUAUCACUAUAGUGAUUGCUAAAGAAAACAAAGCUCUGAAAGCAAAUCCCAAUUCUGCAAUAUUUGUUAUUUAUGCUAGGCAGUUAAGAUAUUUUCCCUGAUGCUCAUAUCUGUCUCAAUUGGAACUUAGAGACCAAAAUUAGCCUUGUGAAUUAUUAUUUAUAGAAAUAAUGUCAUGUGUAAGGUUAGUAUACAUUCAGAUAGUUUAGCUAUCUGGUAAAGGACUUCAAAAUUCUGUUUAACCUCCUAUUUAUAGUGCUGUCAUUGGAUAUUAUUUUGCUUUUCUGAUAAGGUAAAUAAUAAUAAAAUAAUCAUGACAGCAAAAUAAAUUUUCAGAAAAGACUGACAUUAACACUUUGAGAUUUUACUAGAAAUCCUGUGAUUUUUCCCCCACACACAUCUUAAAUGCAAAUCCAACCCUCAGAGUAUAUUUUCCAUGUAUUAAUUAACAAUGGUCCUCUUCAUUUUUCAUCUCUAUACCCUCUGUUGCCUGUCUUGGAAUAAUUUCACUGCACCUAAGCACAUUUAUUAGAGCAGAUAGAAGGGGGAGAGAGAAAGAAAAAUUCAGUGAAGUUCAUUUUUCUAUUCUAAAGCAGGUCC